This 139-nucleotide ribosomal RNA is filed under the name uncultured eukaryote. RNAcentral's name for it is "partial 18S ribosomal RNA". It matches the Rfam family "Eukaryotic small subunit ribosomal RNA", at positions 1299 to 1458 of the family's 1831-position model. The record is from RNAcentral.
UGGUGGAGUGAUUUGUCUGGUUAAUUUCGUUAACGAACGAGACCUUGUCUGACUAAAUAAUUACGUGUAGUGUGUUUACAUGGGCAACUUCUUAGAGGGACUUUGUGUGCUUAACACAAGGAAGUUUGAGGUGAUAACA